This 147-nucleotide unclassified non-coding RNA is filed under the name uncultured Xylariales. RNAcentral describes it as "sequence contains ITS1". The record is from RNAcentral. Lineage: Eukaryota; Fungi; Ascomycota; Sordariomycetes; Xylariales.
CUGAGUUUUUUUAACUCCCAAACCAUUGUGAACUUACCACUGUUGCCUCGGCGGCAGUCCCCUCUGUAACAGGAGGGGCGGCCGCCGGUGGACUACUUAAACUCUUGUUAAUUUUUGUCAAUUCUGAAUUAAAAACUUAAUAAGUUA